GCCCUUAGAGUUUGAUCCUGGCUCAGAACGAACGUUGGCGGCGUGGAUUAGGCAUGCAAGUCGAACGAGUUUCAGUAGCAAUACUGGAAUAAGUGGCGAAAGGGGCAGUAAUGUAUGGACAACUCACCCUGGGGAUGGGGAUAGCCAUUCUAACGAAUGAGUAAUACCCAGCGAGAUAGUGUUGUGGCAUCACGAUACUAUGAAAAGAGAUUCGCCUUGGGAGAGGUUCAUAUGCUAUUAGCUAGUUGGUGAGGUAACGGCUCACCAAGGCAAAGAUGGCUAGCGGGUGUGAGAGCACGACCCGCGUCACUGGCACUGAGACACUGGCCAGACAUCUACGGAUGGCUGCAGUCGAGAAUCUUCAUAAAUGGGGGCAACCCUGAACGAGCGACGCCGCGUGUGCGACGACGGCCUUAUUGGUUGUAAAGCACAAAAGUAGGAAUAAACGCCGAAAGGUUUGAUUGAACUACAGUAAGCACGGGCUAAGUUCGUGCCAGCAGCCGCGGUAAGACGAACCGUGCUAACGUUGUUCGGAAUCACUGGGCUUAAAGGGCGCGUAGGCGGGUAAUCAAGUCGAUGGUGAAAUCCGGCAGCUCAACUGUCGAACUGCCUUCGAUACUGAAUAUCUAGAGGGAAGUAGGGGCGUGUGGAACAGUUGGUGGAGCGGUGAAAUGCACAGAUAUCAACUGGAACUCCGGUGGCGAAAGCGACACGCUGGACUUUAUCUGACGCUGAGGCGCGAAAGCCAGGGGAGCAAACGGGAUUAGAUACCCCGGUAGUCCUGGCCCUAAACGAUGGGUACUGGAUAGUAGUCUACACAUGAGAUUACUGUCGAAGCAAAAGUGUUAAGUACCCCGCCUGGGGAGUAUGGUCGCAAGGCUGAAACUCAAAUGAAUUGACGGGGAAGGGC
Molecule: ribosomal RNA, 910 nt
Filed under: uncultured bacterium
Lineage: Bacteria
Description: bacterial SSU rRNA
Rfam family: Bacterial small subunit ribosomal RNA
Source: RNAcentral